AUUCUGUCGUCUUGUAUAACCCUAGGGUGUUAGCGAAAGCAGGGAUUAGCAACGAAAAUGUUAUACUCGGCGCUACCGUCGCAGUUGGAGCUGUGAAGACGGGCUGCAUAUUGGUGGCAACGUUCCUCUGUGACCGUGUCGGCCGGCGGCCGCUGCUGCUGACUAGUGUUGGCGGGAUGGUUGUGUCACUGCUUGUGCUGUCGACGGGUUUGUUGGUGAUUGAUCGGCAACCGGAUGCUAAUCUGCCAUGGCUAGCGGUGCUGUGUGUCGCCAUGGUGAUUGCGUUUGUCGGCUCGUUUGCGGUCGGUCUGGGGCCGAUUGCGUGGGUGUAUACGUCGGAGAUAUUCCCGUUGCGACUGAGGGCGCAAGGGGCGAGCCUGGCGGCGGGGACUAAUAGGAUCGUAAGCGCGGUGGUUACCAUGUCGUCGUUGUCGCUGUAUAAUACGAUUACGGUGGCUGGGAGCUUUUAUCUGUAUGCGGCGAUAUCAGUUGUGACGUGGGUGUUUAUCUACAUAUUGUUGCCGGAGACUAGAGGGAGGAGCUUGGAGGAGAUGCAGGUUUUGUUUGGUGGUGAAAAACUUCAAGGACGGAAAGAUGAGAGGAAGAGUUUGGUUGAUUGUUAGUUUUGUUGGAUUCUUCGGGCAUUUCUGCAAGGAAGCGUGUGCAUGUGGUGCCUAUUAUA
Molecule: unclassified non-coding RNA, 682 nt
Filed under: Hevea brasiliensis (rubber tree)
Lineage: Eukaryota; Viridiplantae; Streptophyta; Magnoliopsida; Malpighiales; Euphorbiaceae
Source: RNAcentral